GACUACUGGGGUAUCUAAUCCUGUUUGCUCCCCACGCUUUCGUGCCUGAGCGUCAGUGCUGGACCAGGAAGUCGCUUUCGCCACUGAUGUUCCUUCCGAUAUCUACGCAUUUCACCGCUACACCGGAAAUUCCACUUCCCUCUUCCGCACUCCAGCUUCGCAGUCUCGAAUGCAAUUCCCAGGUUGAGCCCGGGGCUUUCACAUCCGACUUACGAAACCGCCUACGCACGCUUUACGCCCAGUAAUUCCGAUUAACGCUCGCACCCUCUGUAUUACCGCGGCUGCUGGCACAGAGUUAGCCGGUGCUUUUUCUGUGGGUUAAGUCAAUUCCGCGACGUGUUGGGUCGCAGACCUUCCUCCCCACUAAAAGUGCUUUACAACCCGCAGGCCUUCUUCACACACGCGGCGUCGCUGGAUCAGGGUUGCCCCCAUUGUCCAAUAUUCCCCACUGCAGCCUCCCGUAGG
Molecule: ribosomal RNA, 465 nt
Filed under: uncultured Gammaproteobacteria bacterium
Lineage: Bacteria; Pseudomonadati; Pseudomonadota; Gammaproteobacteria
Description: partial 16S ribosomal RNA
Source: RNAcentral